This 496-nucleotide ribosomal RNA is filed under the name uncultured bacterium. Its description in RNAcentral is "partial 16S ribosomal RNA". It matches the Rfam family "Bacterial small subunit ribosomal RNA", at positions 29 to 507 of the family's 1533-position model. The record is from RNAcentral.
AUGAACGCUGGCGGCGUGCCUUAUACCUGCAAGUCGAGCGAACGGACGAGAAGCUUGCUUCUCUGAUGUUAGCGGCGGACGGGUGAGUAACACGUGGAUAACCUACCUAUAAGACUGGGAUAACUUCGGGAAACCGGAGCUAAUACCGGAUAAUAUUUUGAACCGCAUGGUUCAAAAGUAAAACACGGUCUUGCUGUCACUUAUAGAUGGAUCCGCGCUGCAUUAGCUAGUUGGUAAGGUAACGGCUUACCAAGGCAACGAUGCAUAGCCGACCUGAGAGGGUGAUCGGCCACACUGGAACUGAGACACGGUCCAGACUCCUACGGGAGGCAGCAGUAGGGAAUCUUCCGCAAUGGGCGAAAGCCUGACGGAGCAACGCCGCGUGAGUGAUGAAGGUCUUCGGAUCGUAAAACUCUGUUAUUAGGGAAGAACAUAUGUGUAAGUAACUGUGCACAUCUUGACGGUACCUAAUCAGAAAGCCACGGCUAACUACGUG